UAAAAAAUUUGGCGGUAUUUUAGUCUAUUCAGAGGAACUUGUUCUAUAAUCGAUAAUCCACGAUGGACCUCACUUAAGUUUGUAUACAGUUUAUAUACCGUCGUUAUUAGAAUAUUUUAUAAGAAUAUUAAUUUUCUUAAUUUUUCAUUAAAAAAUAUAUCAGAUCAAGGUGUAGCUUAUAUUUAAGUAGAAAUGGGUUACAAUAAAAUUAUUUAUAUGAAUUUAAAUUUGAAAUGUUUUUUGAAAUUGGAUUUGAUAGUAAAAUUAUAAAGAUUAAUAAUUUGAUUUUAGCUCUAAAAUAUGUACACAUCGCCCGUCACUCUUAUUAUUAAGGUAAGAUAAGUCGUAACAUAGUAGAUGUACUGGAAAGUGUAUCUAGAAUGCAAUUUAAAGCUUUAUUAGUAAAGUAUUUCAUUUACAUUGAAAAGAUUUUUGUGCAAAUCAAUAUAAAUUGAUUAAAUUUUAUUUAUUAAUUUUUUUUGUUGUUAAAAUUAUUUAUUAAAAAUAAUUAUAAAAAUUAUUGUUUGAGUAUUUUAUAAAGAAAAAAUAAAUUUAAUUAUAGUUUAAUAGUAUUGUGAAAGAAAAUUGAAAUAAUUUGAAAAAUUUU
RNAcentral lists this ribosomal RNA (607 nucleotides) under Limnophora olympiae. RNAcentral's name for it is "partial 12S ribosomal RNA". The stretch from base 384 to 455 matches the Rfam family "tRNA". The record is from RNAcentral. Lineage: Eukaryota; Metazoa; Arthropoda; Insecta; Diptera; Muscidae.